CGAAAACAACCUCUCUACUACUAUUUUCCUCAAGGCUUAGACUGCACUUGUGAGAUUACACUAGAUAUGUUGCUCGUAAGCGUAUUAACGGGAUACAUUUUGCAGGAUUAUGUAGAGGAAGAAUUGGAAUGGCUUUCAAAUAAAGAUGCAUUUCCAGCAGUAGAAUUUGACCUAUUCUCUGAUCAUGUCAUAUUUGAUCACCACAGCCCAAAUUCAGUACUGGAAAACAACAACAACAAUUGCAACGUAAAUCUCAAGGACAACGCGUUCACAAGCCACGCCUCUAGCCUCCUACAAGUACCCAUGAACCACCCCGUUGGUACGCGAAGCAAGAGAAGGCGAAGAAUCGCCUUGCAGUGUGACAACUCAUGUGUAUGGGGUAACCAAGUGAAGUUCAACAACACUAGUACUAAG
Molecule: unclassified non-coding RNA, 414 nt
Filed under: Hevea brasiliensis (rubber tree)
Lineage: Eukaryota; Viridiplantae; Streptophyta; Magnoliopsida; Malpighiales; Euphorbiaceae
Source: RNAcentral